RNAcentral lists this ribosomal RNA (653 nucleotides) under uncultured prokaryote. RNAcentral's name for it is "bacterial SSU rRNA". It matches the Rfam family "Bacterial small subunit ribosomal RNA", at positions 28 to 670 of the family's 1533-position model. The record is from RNAcentral.
AUUGAACGCUGGCGGCAGGCCUAACACAUGCAAGUCGAGCGGUAACACAGAGGAGCUUGCUCCUUGGGUGACGAGCGGCGGACGGGUGAGUAAUGCCUGGGGAUCUGCCCGAUAGAGGGGGAUAACUACGGGAAACUGUAGCUAAUACCGCAUAAUGUCUACGGACCAAAGUGGGGGCUCUUCGGACCUCAUGCUAUCGGAUGAACCCAGGUGGGAUUAGCUAGUUGGUGAGGUAAUGGCUCACCAAGGCGACGAUCUCUAACUGGUUUGAGAGAAUGACCAGUCACACUGGAACUGAGACACGGUCCAGACUCCUACGGGAGGCAGCAGUGGGGAAUAUUGCACAAUGGGCGCAAGCCUGAUGCAGCCAUGCCGCGUGUGUGAAGAAGGCCUUCGGGUUGUAAAGCACUUUCAGCGGGGAGGAAGGGCUACUAGUUAAUACCUAGUGGCAUUGACGUUACUCGCAGAAGAAGCACCGGCUAACUCCGUGCCAGCAGCCGCGGUAAUACGGAGGGUGCAAGCGUUAAUCGGAAUUACUGGGCGUAAAGCGCACGCAGGCGGUUUGNUAAGUCANAUGUGAAAUCCCCGAGCUCAACUUGGGAACUGCAUUUGAAACUGGCAAGCUAGANUCUUGUAGAGGGGGGUAGAAUUCC